Long non-coding RNA from Sapajus apella (tufted capuchin), 540 nucleotides. RefSeq lists it as uncharacterized. The transcript has 2 exons. The record is from RefSeq and is a predicted model, not a curated record. NCBI's taxonomy places the organism in Eukaryota, Metazoa, Chordata, Mammalia, Primates, Cebidae.
AACCCGGGAGGUGGAGGUUGUGGUGAGCUGAGAGUAUGUCAUUGCACUCCAGCCUGGGUUACAGAGCAAGACUCUGUUUCAAAAAAAAAAAAAAAAUGUAUUUUAUGUAAGUAUUCAAUUACUAUCACCUUUCUUCUCUAUUUCAAUGCCUUCUUCACUUUACACCAAUUAAAAACAAGCCAGCUAGUGCCAGGAAAGCACGUGGUGCUAUUGCCAUUUUAAAGAUGAUGGAUGAAGAGCACUCGUUUGAGUAGUACUCAUGUGCCGAACAAUGUUAUUUAACACAAAGUACUGAUUUUCUAUUUUUCCCUAAAUUUAUUGAUAAAAUGUUUAGCUAAGAAGAUUUUAUCUCAUUCAAGUGUGUUUUAUGGAAUCUGUCAACAUUUACUACCUGAACUUACCAGACAUUGCCUCGUCAAGAUCAUCUAUAAAACACCUGCCAUUUCACCAUGGAACCAGCUACCACUUCUUCAAGACCCCUCUCUGCCGCAGAGAACUCUUCUCUCUCUUUCGCCUAUUAAACAUCCACUCUGAACCUAA